Molecule: unclassified non-coding RNA, 292 nt
Filed under: uncultured Leotiomycetes
Lineage: Eukaryota; Fungi; Ascomycota; Leotiomycetes
Description: sequence contains ITS1
Rfam family: 5.8S ribosomal RNA (bases 1-105)
Source: RNAcentral
GAAAUGCGAUAAGUAAUGUGAAUUGCAGAAUUCAGUGAAUCAUCGAAUCUUUGAACGCACAUUGCGCCCCCUGGCAUUCCGGGGGGCAUGCCUGUUCGAGCGUCAUUAUAACCCUCAAGCCCAGCUUGGUGUUGGGGCCUGCCGUCAGCGGCAGCCCCUAAAAUCAGUGGCGGUGCCAUCUGGCUCUAAGCGUAGUAAAUCUUCUCGCUAUAGGGUCCGGUGGACGCUGGCCAGCAACCCCAAUCUUUCUAUGGUUGACCUCGGAUCAGGUAGGGAUACCCGCUGAACUUAA